This 253-nucleotide ribosomal RNA is filed under the name uncultured bacterium. Its description in RNAcentral is "partial 16S ribosomal RNA". It matches the Rfam family "Bacterial small subunit ribosomal RNA", at positions 524 to 776 of the family's 1533-position model. The record is from RNAcentral. RNAcentral also lists the same sequence under 1 other name.
UACGUAGGAGACGAGCGUUGUCCGGAGUUACUGGGCGUAAAGGGCGCGCAGGCGGCCUGUCAGGUGUCUGGUGAAAGCUCCCGGCUUAACUGGGAGAGGUCCAGGCAAACCGUCAGGCUUGAGCGUCGGAGAGGGGCAUGGAAUUCCGGGUGGAGCGGUGAAAUGCGUAGAGAUCCGGAGGAACACCAAUGGCGAAGGCAGUGCCCUGGCCGACGGCUGACGCUCAGGCGCGAAAGCGUGGGGAGCAAACAGG